AUGAACGCUGGCGGCGUGCCUAAUACAUGCCAGUCGAGCGAACAGACGAGGAGCUUGCUCCUCUGACGUUAGCGGCGGACGGGUGAGUAACACGUGGAUAACCUACCUAUAAGACUGGGAUAACUUCGGGAAACCGGAGCUAAUACCGGAUAAUAUAUUGAACCGCUUGGUUCAAUAGUGAAAGACGGUUUUGCUGUCACUUAUAGAUGGAUCCGCGCCGCAUUAGCUAGUUGGUAAGGUAACGGCUUACCAAGGCAACGAUGCGUAGCCGACCUGAGAGGGUGAUCGGCCACACUGGAACUGAGACACGGUCCAGACUCCUACGGGAGGCAGCAGUAGGGAAUCUUCCGAAAUGGGCGAAAGCCUGACGGAGCAACGCCGCGUGAGUGAUGAAGGUCUUCGGAUCGUAAAACUCUGUUAUUAGGGAAGAACAAAUGUGUAAGUAACUAUGCACGUCUUGACGGUACCUAAUCAGAAAGCCACGGCUAACUACGUG
RNAcentral lists this ribosomal RNA (496 nucleotides) under uncultured bacterium. Its description in RNAcentral is "partial 16S ribosomal RNA". It matches the Rfam family "Bacterial small subunit ribosomal RNA", at positions 29 to 507 of the family's 1533-position model. The record is from RNAcentral.